UUUCCGUAGGUGAACCUGCGGAAGGAUCAUUAACGAGUUAGGGUCUUCUAGGCCCGACCUCCCAACCCUUUGUUUACUGAACCAUUGUUGCCUCGGUGGGUCCGUCUUACGACCGCCGGGGGAUCGCCGCGAGGCGCCCCCUGGCCAGCGCCCACCGAUAGCCCAACCUUUAAAACCCUUUGUGAAUCGUGUCUUAUGUCUAAAUUUAUGAUUAAACAAUCAAAGCAAAACUUUCAACAACGGAUCUCUUGGUUCUG
Molecule: unclassified non-coding RNA, 257 nt
Filed under: plant metagenome
Description: partial contains small subunit ribosomal RNA, internal transcribed spacer 1, and 5.8S ribosomal RNA
Source: RNAcentral